AGUGAACGCUGGCGGUAGGCCUAACACAUGCAAGUCGAACGGCAGCACAGUAAGAGCUUGCUCUUACGGGUGGCGAGUGGCGGAUGGGUGAGGAAUACAUCGGAAUCUACUUUUUCGUGGGGGAUAACGUAGGGAAACUUACGCUAAUACCGCAUACGACCUACGGGUGAAAGCAGGGGAUCUUCGGACCUUGCGUGAUUGAAUGAGCCGAUGUCGGAUUAGCUAGUUGGUGGGGUAAAGGCCCACCAAGGCGACGAUCCGUAGCUGGUCUGAGAGGAUGAUCAGCCACACUGGAACUGAGACACGGUCCAGACUCCUACGGGAGGCAGCAGUGGGGAAUAUUGGACAAUGGGCGCAAGCCUGAUCCAGCCAUGCCGCGUGAGUGAAGAAGGCCUUCGGGUUGUAAAGCCCUUUUAUUGGGAAAGAAAAGCAGCAGGUUAAUACCCCGCUGUUUUGACGGUACCCAAAGAAUAAGCACCGGCUAACUUCGUG
Molecule: ribosomal RNA, 492 nt
Filed under: uncultured bacterium
Lineage: Bacteria
Description: partial 16S ribosomal RNA
Rfam family: Bacterial small subunit ribosomal RNA
Source: RNAcentral